CUUUCGAAAGAAAGAUUAAUACCCGAUGGUAUAAUUAGACCGCAUGGUCUUGUUAUUAAAGAAUUUCGGUUAUCGAUGGGGAUGCGUUCCAUUAGGCAGUUGGUGAGGUAACGGCUCACCAAACCUUCGAUGGAUAGGGGUUCUGAGAGGAAGGUCCCCCACAUUGGAACUGAGACACGGUCCAAACUCCUACGGGAGGCAGCAGUGAGGAAUAUUGGUCAAUGGGCGCAGGCCUGAACCAGCCAAGUAGCGUGAAGGAUGACUGCCCUAUGGGUUGUAAACUUCUUUUAUAUGGGAAUAAAGUUUUCCACGUGUGGAAUUUUGUAUGUACCAUAUGAAUAAGGAUCGGCUAACUCCGUGCCAGCAGCCGCGGUAAUACGGAGGAUCCGAGCGUUAUCCGGAUUUAUUGGGUUUAAAGGGAGCGUAGGUGGACAGUUAAGUCAGUUGUGAAAGUUUGCGGCUCAACCGUAAAAUUGCAGUUGAUACUGGCUGUCUUGAGUACAGUAGAGGUGGGCGGAAUUCGUGGUGUAGCGGUGAAAUGCUUAGAUAUCACGAAGAACUCCGAUUGCGAAGGCAGCUCACUGGACUGCAACUGACACUGAUGCUCGAAAGUGUGGGUAUCAAACAGGAUUAGAUACCCUGGUAGUCCACACAGUAAACGAUGAAUACUCGCUGUUUGCGAUAUACAGUAAGCGGCCAAGCGAAAGCAUUAAGUAUUCCACCUGGGGAGUACGCCGGCAACGGUGAAACUCAAAGGAAUUGACGGGGGCCCGCACAAGCGGAGGAACAUGUGGUUUAAUUCGAUGAUACGCGAGGAACCUUACCCGGGCUUAAAUUGCAUUUGAAUAUAUUGGAAACAGUAUAGCCGUAAGACAAAUGUGAAGGUGCUGCAUGGUUGUCGUCAGCUCGUGCCGUGAGGUGUCGGCUUAAGUGCCAUAACGAGCGCAACCCUUAUCUUUAGUUACUAACAGGUCAUGCUGAGGACUCUAGAGAGACUGCCGUCGUAAGAUGUGAGGAAGGUGGGGAUGACGUCAAAUCAGCACGGCCCUUACGUCCGGGGCUACACACGUGUUACAAUGGGGGGUACAGAAGGCAGCUACCUGGUGACAGGAUGCUAAUCCCAAA
RNAcentral lists this ribosomal RNA (1125 nucleotides) under Bacteroides thetaiotaomicron. Its description in RNAcentral is "bacterial SSU rRNA". It matches the Rfam family "Bacterial small subunit ribosomal RNA", at positions 148 to 1278 of the family's 1533-position model. The record is from RNAcentral. Lineage: Bacteria; Pseudomonadati; Bacteroidota; Bacteroidia; Bacteroidales; Bacteroidaceae.